CUUGCCCGGACUCAUCUGGGACCUGGGCCAGCAGCUGGGAGACCUGAGCCUGGAGUCUGGGGGCCUGGAACAGGAAAGUGGGCGCAGCUCAGGCUUCUAUGAAGACCCCAGCUCCACAGGAGGUCCUGACUCGCCACCCUCGACCUUCUGUGGGGACAGUGGCUUCUCUGGAUCUGGCUCCUAUGGACGCCUGGGUCCCUCUGAACCCCGGGGCAUCUAUGCCAGUGAGAGGCCCAAGUCCCUAGGAGACGCCAGUCCCAGCGCCCCCGAGGCGGCGGGAGCCCGGGCACCAGUCCCGCGGUCCUUCUCGGCCCCUUAUCCGACGGCAGCGGGGUCUGGGGGCCCGGAGGCCUGCUCCUCGGCGGAGCGGCGGUCCCGCGCGGGGCCCUUCCUGACGCCCAGCCCCCUGCACGCCGUGGGGCUGCGCAGCCCGCGGCCCUGCGG
Myotis lucifugus (little brown bat) is the source of this 444-nucleotide long non-coding RNA. RefSeq lists it as uncharacterized. The record is from RefSeq and is a predicted model, not a curated record. Lineage: Eukaryota; Metazoa; Chordata; Mammalia; Chiroptera; Vespertilionidae. The transcript has 3 exons.